Molecule: long non-coding RNA, 609 nt
Filed under: Lathyrus oleraceus (garden pea)
Lineage: Eukaryota; Viridiplantae; Streptophyta; Magnoliopsida; Fabales; Fabaceae
Description: Pisum sativum (pea) long non-coding RNA (PSAT_LNC006697)
Source: RNAcentral
AUAUACCAUGGCCUUAAUCAUCAUUUCUGUAUAAGUCCUUAGUAGUUUAUCUCAGCAAUCAGCUCCGGCCUACACAUCCUCUACGUAGGGGACCGAUGCAAAUAAGUGAAUGAUCCAGAAAAACAAAAAAAUAUAAGAAAGCAAAAAAAGGCAACUCCGGUAUAGGUGACCCUCACAAAGUCAUUUAAACCAAAGGAUUGUCAAAAAAAAAAAAUUUGCUAGAAAAAAAAAGAAAAAGAAAAAGAAAGAAACUCACCCACUAUUGGUUGGUUCUGAGGUAUCUGGCACUGAACUCGGUAGGGCGGAUUACGAUCCGAUCCCCUACAACUACAAUUGGGUCCAAUAAAAGGGUUUACACAUAUUUAUGUGCCAGGAAACCCAUGCUCAGAUCAUAAUCACUAACAGGUCAUUCUACUAUGAAGCAUGUACGGAUAACGGGCUUAAUGUGAUUGCGCCUGAAUGAAAAGGACAUAAAAGGAGAUGAAGAGGCAGGCCUAGGUGUUGUGGGAUAAUAUGGGUUGGUUAAUAUAGGAAUGAAGUUUAUGUCCGUAUUUGCGGAUUAGUGUCAUCAUGAUACCCUUAGUUCACUCAGUUAGUACCUAUCACUGC